Molecule: long non-coding RNA, 437 nt
Organism: Sander lucioperca (pikeperch)
Lineage: Eukaryota; Metazoa; Chordata; Actinopteri; Perciformes; Percidae
Exons: 3
Source: RefSeq, a predicted model, not a curated record
AGAGAGUGCAGUGGUGGUCGAGCUAGAGAGUGAAUGAAGAGAGGGAGCGCCGAACAAAGCAGUGAAUCAGAGGAAUAAAACCUAGUUUUCUGAUUGUUUCACGGCGGUUAUGUUCUAAAGCACUAAUUAACACGCCCACACCUCAGUGGGAAGGUGCCACAUUGCCGGAUUUUGGGUAAAUGAGACACUACCGGUUUUUUUUUCUGAGGCUUUGAAACGGGAGCGCCACAUAUUCACGCAAUACUUCAAACAGCGGCAGUGCGACGAGGCACUAAGCGUCUAUUCUGAGCUGAGCGCUGCAGGUUUGGAGUUUGUUUCUGGCUGCAGAGAGUUGAAAAAUGCUUGGGUAAAACGCUGCGCUCAUCACCUAUUUCCCAGCUGGCUAGAGGGCCUGUCUGUCAUUUUCCGCUGGAAAAAGACGCUUUGGUGGCCAGGUG